CAGUCGCCGCGGGAAUACGAAGGGGGCUAGCGUUGCUCGGAAUUACUGGGCGUAAAGGGAGCGUAGGCGGGUCGUUUAGUCAGAGGUGAAAUCCCGGGGCUCAACCUCGGAACUGCCUUUGAUACUGGCGACCUUGAGUAUGGGAGAGGUAAGUGGAAUUCCACGUGUAGCGGUGAAAUGCGUAGAGAUGUGGAGGAACACCAGUGGCGAAGGCGACUCUCUGGUCUGUAACUGACGCUGAGGAGCGAAAGCGUGGGGAGCGAACAGGAUUAGAUACCCCUGUAGUCCCUGUCUCUUAUAC
Molecule: ribosomal RNA, 301 nt
Filed under: uncultured bacterium
Lineage: Bacteria
Description: partial 16S ribosomal RNA
Rfam family: Bacterial small subunit ribosomal RNA
Source: RNAcentral